RNAcentral lists this ribosomal RNA (374 nucleotides) under uncultured bacterium. Its description in RNAcentral is "bacterial SSU rRNA". It matches the Rfam family "Bacterial small subunit ribosomal RNA", at positions 29 to 413 of the family's 1533-position model. The record is from RNAcentral.
AAUCAACGCUGGCGGCGCGCUUAACACAUGCAAGUCGCACGAGAAAGGGAGCAAUCCCUGAGUACAGUGGCGUACGGGUGAGUAACACGUGGGUAAUCUACCUCUUAGUGGGGGAUAUCUCUGGGAAACCGGAGUUAAUACCGCACAAGUUCGGAAGAAGAAAGCGAGCAACCCGCGCUGAGAGAGGAGCCCGCGGCCGAUUAGCUAGUUGGUGGGGUAAAGGCUCACCAAGGCAGAGAUCGGUAGCCGGCCUGAGAGGGCACACGGCCACACUGGCACUGAAACACGGGCCAGACUCCUACGGGAGGCAGCAGGUGGGGAAUCUUGCACAAUGGGGGAAACCCUGAUGCAGCGACGCCGCGUGAGCGAUGAAG